CGAGCCUCCUGCCGCACACACGUUCGCACGCGGCGGCCGGCGCGCUGGAGCGAGAGGUUUGGAGCAAUCCGUCCUCCGCGCGCACGAGCUCAGUCCCUACUGCCCCGACAGGUGUGGAACCCGCCAUCCCCGCUAUGGUCCGAGGAAGUGUACAGCACCGCUCCGUACUACACGUCCUGGGCCCGCGGUCCCCGAUGCCCCCCGGAGCUCUGUGCACCUCCACUGAAACGCAAGGAGCAGACAGAACCUACACCAUCCGUGAGGUAGCUUCUGCCAACCCCUCUCCAUCUCUAGAGCUGAUUCCGGUUGAUGUUCUUAACACCUUCCUGUAUCAACACUCUUCCAGGUCUAGGCUGAAAUUUAAAAUCUGUGUAAAUGUUGACACAAUAAUGUUUGUACAAACAAAAAAGACCAAAAAUGAAAACCCCCUAGUUAAUUGCUGCAUAUUCUAAAGAUGGGAUCUUGUGGAGAAAUUGGAACUCUUAUGCAAUGCUGAUAGGAAUGUAGAUGGUACCACCACUAUGCAAAACAGUGGGGAAGUUCCUCAAAAAACUAAAACUAGAGCUACCAUAUGAUCCAGCAAUCCCACUUCUGGGUAAAUAUCCAAAAGAAUUGAAAGCAGGAUAUCGAAGAGAUAUUUGCACAUUCAUGUUCAUUGCAGCACUAUUCACAAUAGCCAAGAGAUUGAGGCAGCCCAAAUGUUCAUCAACAGAUGAAGAGAUGAAUGAAAAUGUGAUAUAUAUAUAUAUAAUGGAAUAUUAUUCAGCCUUAAAAAGGAAGGAAAUCUUAUCACAGGCUACAACAUAGAUGAACCUUGAGGAUGUUGUGCCAAGUGCAAUAAACCAGUCACAAAAGGACAAAUACUG
RNAcentral lists this non-coding RNA (866 nucleotides) under Pan troglodytes (chimpanzee). The record is from RNAcentral. Lineage: Eukaryota; Metazoa; Chordata; Mammalia; Primates; Hominidae.